GCUGGCGGCGCGUUUUAAGCAUGCAAGUCGAACGGUAGUAGAGUGCUUGCACUCUAUGAGAGUGGCGAACGGGUGAGUAACACGUAGGUGAUCUAUCUUGGGGUCUGGGAUAGCCUGUGGAAACACAGGGUAAUACCGGAUACGACCUUAUGGGUGAUGCCAUAAGGGGAAAGUCGCUUAGGCGACGUCCUGAGCUGAGCUUGCGGCUCAUUAGUUAGUUGGUAGGGUAACGGCCUACCAAGGCGACGAUGAGUAGCCGGCCUGAGAGGGUGAUCGGCCACACUGGGACUGAGACACGGCCCAGACUCCUACGGGAGGCAGCAGCUAAGAAUCUUCCGCAAUGGGGGCAACCCUGACGGAGCGACGCCGCGUGAACGAAGAAGGCCGGAAGGUUGUAAAGUUCUUUUCCUGGGGGAGAAUAAUGCUUGGAGGGAAUGCCAGGCAGAUGACGUGAACCAGGGAAUAAGCCCCGGCUAAUUCCGUGCCAGCAGCCGCGGUAACACGGAAGGGGCGAGCGUUGUUCGGAUUUAUUGGGCGUAAAGGGCGUGUAGGCGGUGAAAUAAGUCUGGUGUGAAAUAUCCCGGCUCAACCGGGGAGACGCGCUGGAAACUG
RNAcentral lists this ribosomal RNA (612 nucleotides) under uncultured spirochete. RNAcentral describes it as "bacterial SSU rRNA". It matches the Rfam family "Bacterial small subunit ribosomal RNA", at positions 35 to 635 of the family's 1533-position model. The record is from RNAcentral. Lineage: Bacteria; Pseudomonadati; Spirochaetota; Spirochaetia; Spirochaetales.